This 484-nucleotide ribosomal RNA is filed under the name uncultured bacterium. Its description in RNAcentral is "partial 16S ribosomal RNA". It matches the Rfam family "Bacterial small subunit ribosomal RNA", at positions 28 to 523 of the family's 1533-position model. The record is from RNAcentral.
GACGAACGCUGGCGGCGUGCUUAACACAUGCAAGUCGAACGAUGAAGCCGGAGCUUGCUCUGGUGAAUUAGUGGCGAACGGGUGAGUAACACGUGAGUAACCUGCCCUUGACUCUGGGAUAACUGCUAGAAAUGGUAGCUAAUACCGGAUACGACCCUCGGAGGCAUCUCCAGGGGGUGGAAAGAAUUUCGGUCAAGGAUGGACUCGCGGCCUAUCAGCUAGUUGGUGAGGUAACGGCUCACCAAGGCGACGACGGGUAGCCGGCCUGAGAGGGUGAACGGCCACACUGGGACUGAGACACGGCCCAGACUCCUACGGGAGGCAGCAGUGGGGAAUAUUGCACAAUGGGCGCAAGCCUGAUGCAGCAACGCCGCGUGAGGGAUGACGGCCUUCGGGUUGUAAACCUCUUUUAGUAGGGAAGAAGCGAAAGUGACGGUACCUGCAGAAAAAGCACCGGCUAGCUACGUGCCAGCCGCCGCAGUAA